UCGUCUGCCGAAAAAGUUCGAUUUUAUGGGGAGCCUGGUAGGAGGUCGGCCGGCGAUAGACUUCGGAUAGCGCUAGGGAGGCUCAGCAGACAUCGGAGGUGAUCGGCUAUCGUACGGACCCCAUUGCUGGAGCUCGUCCGUCAUAGAAGCUCGUCCGGAAUCCUUCUGCUGGAGAAGUUCGGACGGGCUUUAGUUCUCGCGAGAGGUCGAAAAGAGACUGCUUAUCGCAGGAGCUCGGGCGAGGAUCGGUUGCCGUGGAAGCUUGGGGUAGUGUCCCACUGUAGAAGCACGUC
RNAcentral lists this long non-coding RNA (293 nucleotides) under Elaeis guineensis (African oil palm). RNAcentral's name for it is "long non-coding RNA (EGUI_LNC010779)". The record is from RNAcentral. Lineage: Eukaryota; Viridiplantae; Streptophyta; Magnoliopsida; Arecales; Arecaceae.